This 767-nucleotide long non-coding RNA is filed under the name Citrus sinensis (sweet orange). RNAcentral's name for it is "long non-coding RNA (CSIN_LNC004520)". The record is from RNAcentral. Lineage: Eukaryota; Viridiplantae; Streptophyta; Magnoliopsida; Sapindales; Rutaceae.
UUAAUUUUAAAAGUUAAUUAAAAUUAUUUUACAAAAUUUGAAAAAAAGUUGCAACUCAGUCCGUUGCCGGCGCCGCCGUCUCUCCCGGUGCCGCCGCCAUAAAAUCACUAUUAAUCGACACAUCCCAACUAACAGAUCGGAAAUUCAACGAUCUAUCUAAAGGUGGUGUUUGAUUUAGAAACUAACAAAUGAUGGAGGCGCACGCGCAUCACAAAAAGCCACAGCCACCACAUGGCCGUCGCACGUUUGUGAGAAACAAACAAACAACUGACAAUAAUGGACUUGACGCCUGUGAACUGGGAAGCUCUGGACGCACUCAUCCUCGAGUUCGCAAAAUCUGAGAACUUAAUCGAAGACUCAAUUGUAUCAUCUCCACCAUCUUCUCCGUCUUCUUCUUCCACGUCUUCGGUCUCUCUCUCCUCUUCUUCUUCUUCCACGUCUUCGUCUUCUUCUUGAUUUUUUUUCAACGGUGGCAGCUGAUACUUGGCAUGUGAUUCGAGGUCGUUGUUUUUUGGUGAAAUUAAGUGAGUUUGUGAAGGAUUUUUCGGAUGAAAAUGGUGUGAAACGAGGCUGCAAAGUGCUGAAGAAGGAGGAGCGGAGGUUGGUGGUGGUUGUUACGUCCAUGUUUGGAUAGUCGGAAACUGAAAGAAAGAGAAGGAAAAUUUCUGGGUCUGUUUAUUACAAUUUUCAUUUUUUAUUUUAUAAAAUUAAAAUUUUGUAAACUUGUGUUAGGUUAAAUGAAUAUCUAUCGGGUAAAAAUAAUUAUC